UAACACAUGCAAGUCGAGGGGUAACAGGGAUUGCUUGCAAUCCGCUGACGACCGGCGCACGGGUGCGUAACGCGUAUGCAACCUACCUUCUACAAGAGGAUAGCCCAGAGAAAUUUGGAUUAAUACUCUAUACGAUCAUUAAUUGGCAUCAGUUGAUGAAGAAAACUCCGGUGGUAGAAGAUGGGCAUGCGUCCUAUUAGUUAGUUGGUAAGGUAAUGGCUUACCAAGACUUCGAUAGGUAGGGGUCCUGAGAGGGAGAUCCCCCACACUGGUACUGAGACACGGACCAGACUCCUACGGGAGGCAGCAGUGAGGAAUAUUGGACAAUGGAGGCAACUCUGAUCCAGCCAUGCCGCGUGCAGGAAGACGGCCCUACGGGUUGUAAACUGCUUUUAUACAGGAAGAAUUGUGCCUACGUGUAGGUAUUUGACGGUACUGUACGAAUAAGGA
Molecule: ribosomal RNA, 450 nt
Filed under: uncultured Bacteroidota bacterium
Lineage: Bacteria; Pseudomonadati; Bacteroidota
Description: bacterial SSU rRNA
Rfam family: Bacterial small subunit ribosomal RNA
Source: RNAcentral